RNAcentral lists this long non-coding RNA (6761 nucleotides) under Sus scrofa (pig). Its description in RNAcentral is "lncRNA (ENSSSCG00065040846.1)". The record is from RNAcentral. Lineage: Eukaryota; Metazoa; Chordata; Mammalia; Artiodactyla; Suidae.
CAGAGCCUUCUGCAAGUCAAGCACUGGUGCUUUGAUGGGCCCCUGAGCCCGCUGCCCUCCCGCAUUGGGCCCAGUGGAUUGGAGUAAUCCGUUACCCAAGAGACAUGACUGCUUCCUCCUUAAAGGCCCCAGCCCUGGGUCUUAUGAAUAAACUCUUAGUAGCUUUCCUGGUUCUCUUAUUUUUAUGCAGGGCUUGACUUGAUAGCCGAAAAUGCAAUGUCUUCCCCUAAACAGAUUGCUUCUGUUCCCUUGGUGUCCUUGUCACUUUAAGUCUAGCCUUCCUCCCAGUUUCUGCAGAAAAGCCAUUGUUCUACAGCCGGCCAUUGAAGACGGUAUUUGGCUGAUGGUUCGUUACCGCAUGUGCUCACUGUUGGCUUUAUUGAGCUGCUUAAACAUCAGCGUUAGGAAUGGAAGCUAUGUAGCUCUGGGAACCUCUAGUUCCAAAUAGGAAAGCCUUGCAAAAUUUCCAGCUGGCAAACGGACAAAACUGAGGGCGUGAAAGUUGCUCCAGAGGCUGAGAGCCUGCUGAAGAACUCAGCUCCGCCAGGUCACGUGGUAGUUGUAUGUUUCGUUUUGUAAGAAACUGACCAGCUCUUUUCGAGUGGCUGUACCACUGUUCCCACCAGCAAUGUCUGACUGGUCCUGUUUUGCAUUUGGUGGCGUUGCCCUUUUUUUCAUUUUGUCCAUCCCGACAGGUGUGCAGUGUUAUCUUACGGUGGUUUUCAUCUGUGAGUCCCCCGUGGGUGGUGAUGUGGAAAUUAUUUCCUGUGCCUAGUCUGCCGUCUUUGGCUCUUCUUUGGCCAAAUGUCUCUUCAUGUUUCCUGCUCAUUUUCUUGUUGAAUUUUAGGUGUUUUGUGUGUGUGUGUGUGUGUGUUUUAACAAUUCUGAAGGAGUGUUUUCCUGUUUUUAGAAUUCUCUUUCCAUCCAGGCUUCUAAUCAAGCACCAGAGUAGAAAUAACACUGUUGACAGCUGAUAAAGAUCUAAAUACGUAUGACUGGAGUUCCCGUUGGGGUGCGGUGGAAACAAAUCCGACUAGGAACCAUGAGGUUGCGGGUUCGAUCCCUGGCCUUGCUCCGUGGGUUAAGGGUCUGGCGUUGCCCUGAGCUGUGGUGUCGGUCACAGAUGCAGCUCAGAUCCCGCAUUGCUGUGGCUCUGGCGUAGGCCAGCAGCUACAGCUCCGAUUAGACUCCUAGCCUGGGAACCUCUAUAUGCCUCGGGUGUGGCCCUAAAAAAAAAGGCAAAAAAAAAAAAAUAUGUAUGACCUGCCACAGGUAUCCUUUUGGGAGAAACUAUGGGAGAAUGUGCUCCCCAAAAACAAGGGGGGGGGAGGAACAGAAUUAUAUAAGAAAAGAAAUGCAUGCAUGGCACACGACACGACUUGGCUGUCGUAUAUACAUUAUUUUACAUUAUUUAUGCAUUACUCUGAUAUGUCCUCUAUGUAUUAACAUUGACUCUUGGGUUAACUGGAAAUGUUAUAAAAUUACCAUAAGAAGAAAGAAAUAGGAAAAGUGUGAUUGGAGCAGUGAGAAUAGAGUUAAAUUCUAAGCUCCUUGGGCAGGAAGUCUAAACUAACACUAAACACAUCAACCUAGGGGGGUUUUUUGUGCAUUUUUUGUUUUUUAUUGUUCAGUUUUGAAAUUAUUUGUUCAAGAGACUUGUCUUUUGUCAGAUAUGCGAUUUGCACGUAUUUUCACCUGAAGUAUACUUGUCUUUUCAUCCUCAUUAUAAUGUCCUUUUUAGACCAAACAUUUUAAAUUUUGAUGAGAUCCAAUUUAUCGAUUUUUCCUUUUAGGGGUUGUGUUUUCUAGUGUCAAGCCUAAGAACUUUUUACUUAGCUGUAGAUCUUAAAGACGUUUCUCCUGUUUGUUCUCCAAGUUUUUUUUUUUUUUUUUAGUUUUAAUUCUACGUCUCAGUCCAUGACCUAUUUGAAGUUAGUUCUUGUCUUAGAUGUGAGACCUUAGAUUGAGGUUCGUUUUUAUUAUUAUGAUGAUGAUGGAUUUCUACACCAGCACCAUGUGUUGAAAAGGCUGUCAUUCCUCCAUCGUCUUCAUUUGUAUCAAAAACGAGUGGGGCAUAUUCGUAUAGAGCUACAUCAGGGUUUUGUGAUCUGUCCACUGGUCUAUAUGUUGAUCCCUUUGCCAAAACCACACUGCCGUGAUUACAGAGUAGGUCUCAGUACUGUUUCUGAGUCCAAGCAUGUAAUGCCCACCGCAAGACAUGCCUAGAAAUGGAGGGGCAAGUUGUUGUGGCGAGGAAUAGCAACUUCAUUUGGAAAGCCAGCAGACCAAGAAGACGGUGGACUCCUGACCCAAAGAACCACUUCCUUGAGGCAAAAUUCAGGCUUCUUUUAUACUAAAAGGGGAGGGGGCGCCAGAAUCUAUUGUUCUUGCAGCUGUCCCUGUAGAUCUAGUUGCAAUGUUCCCAUAAACCUCCACCAAGACAACUGUUGUUUCCUGUGCUGCAAUUUUUAUCGCUGUGUGAAUGGAAAAGUGUUAUCUCUUUAAAGGUCAGAGCCUUGACAAUGGGCUCUCCUGUGUAUUUCAGGCUAGAGGCAACAUUCCUUUAGGAAAGGUGCAGAGCCAGCCUGACCAAACACAGGCAGCAGAGCACAAGGGUUGGAGCUGAAGAAAUGGGUUCCCAGAGGAGUCAGGUUUGUUCUUCUCUGUUACAGUGUUAGGUAGAAUCAGUCCUUCUCACUCUACUUCUUUUUCAUGAUUGAUUUAGCCUGUUUCUGGGGCACGUGCCUUUGCAUAAAAUUUAAGAGUAAACCUGUGUCUACCAAAAAAAACCUUGCUGGGAUUUUGAUGGCAUUAUAUUGAACCUGUAAUCUGGGGAGAACUAAUGUAUUUGUUGUGUUGAGUCUUUCAAUCCAUUAACAUGGUAUGUCUCUUCUUUAUUUCAAUCUUUUUGGAUUUUUUUUCAUCAGCACUUUGUAAUUUUCAGGACGUAGAUCCUGUGUAUGUUUUGUCAAGCUUAUACUCGGUGUUUCGUUUUCUUUGGCAUGCCUGUAAAUGGCAUUAUUUCAGAGUUUCAUUUCUGUAUGUUUACUGUCAGUAAAUAGAAGUACUGUUUAUGUUUGUAUGUUGAUCUUGCAACAUUGCUGAACUCACUCACUAGUUCCAAGAGGUGUUUGGUAGCUUCCUGGGUAUUUUCUAUCUAUAAACAAGCAUGUCCCCUGCAAAUAAGUUUUUAAUUCUUCCUUUUCCAUAUGUAUGCCUUUUACUCAUUUCCCCCCCUUAUUACAGUUAAUGGCUAUAACUUCAAAAACUCUGUUGAACAAGGAUGAUGACCCAAAAAAGGAGCUUCCGCUGUGGUACUGCAGCAUUGGCAUUGUCUUGGGAGCACUGGGAGGCAGGUUCAUUCCCCAGCCUGGCACAGCACUGCUGCAGUCGUGGUUUCGUUUGAGACUGUGGCUCAGAUCUGAUCCCUGGCCCGGGAGCUGCAUAUGCCAUGGGGUGGCCAAAAAAGGAAAAAAAAAAAAAAAAAAAAAAAAGGCAUGAUGGGAGUAAACAUCCCUGCUUUUUCCUGACCUUAGGGGGGAAGCAUUCAGUCUUCCACCGUUAAGUAUGACAUAUGGUUUUUCUAAAUAUUCUUCAUCAAGUUGAGAGGGAUCUUCUCUAUUCCAAACUUCCUCAGAGUGUUUGGUGGUGAAUAAGUAUUAGAUUUCGUCGGAUACUUUUUCUGCAUUAAUUAAUGUGAUCAUAUGAUUUUUCUUUUUUAGUUUUGUUGAAACAGUAGAUUUCAGUCAUUGAUUUUCAAAUUCUGACCCAGACUUUGCAUACCUGGAAUAAAUCCCACUUGGUAAUGGGGUAUACUUCUUUUUAUGCAUUCUGAGACGUGAUUUGCUAGUAUUUUGUUAAGGGUAUUUAUGUCUAAGUUCACAAUCAGUAUUGGUCUAUAGUUUUUGGUGGUUUUUUUUUUGGUACUGGUUUUGUCUGGUUUGGGUAUCAGAUUAAUACUAGCUUCAUGAAAAUGCAUUGAGAAGUAUUUCCUCCUCUUCUGUUUUUGGGAAGUGAUUGUAUAAAAUUGGUAUAAUGUUAAUUCUUCUCUACGUGUUUGUUAGAAUUUUAUGAUGAAACCAGCUGCAUAUGGAAAUUUCUUUCUCAGGAGAUUCUGAACCACAAAUUCAGUUUUUAAGUGGUUAUAAAGCUACUGAGGUCAUAUGAUUCAUGUUGGUUAAGUUUUCGGAGUUUGUAGUUUUCAAGGAAUUAAUCUUCUAAGUUGUCGAAGUUGUGAGCCUAAAAUUGCAGAUUUUUAUUACUCAUUUUUUGUUUGUUUUUUGUUUUUUAGGGCCGCACACCUGGCAUAUGGAAGUUCCCAGCCCAGGGGUCAAAUCGGAGCUAUAGCUGCCAGUCACAGCCACAGCCACAACAACUCGGGAUCCAAGCUGACCUACACCGCAGCUCACAGCAACGCCGUGUCCUUUAACCCACUGAGCAAGGUCAGGGAUCGAACCCGCAUCUUCAUGGAUACUAGUUGGGUUCGUUACCACUAGCCACAGCAGGAACUCCUAUACUUCACUUUUAAAAGAUGAACAGUCUUAUGUAAUCUCGAUAAGCAAGGUUUUUGGAGAGAUCUCAGUAUUAGGUUUAAACAGGGAUUUGAGUAUGUGUGAGGAGGAGGUGUUUCAAAAGCUUGGUUGCAUACACAGGAACUGUAUCAGUUCUUAGGUGUAUAUUCAAGGACAUAUAUCAGAAUCUUGGGUAUUUGUCCAAGAAAGUGUUACAGAAUCUCAGGUAUAAACCCAAGAAUUUGUAACAGGAUCUCAGGUUUUACAGCCAAAAAGAUGUAUCAGAAUCUUGUAUACCCCAAGGAAGCUUAGCAGGCUUUCAUGGGGGUGGGGGUAAAGUAUAGUCUUCAAAAAUUCAUUUACUUUUAAAUGUAAAACAAUGUUAAAGAAGAAUAUGAGAUAAUUCUGUUUAUCAGAAGGGGACAUAGAUUUUAAAAGAUUGAGAAAGAAUGGUUGCAGCCUUGUAACCAGUUUACCCUAUGUGUGUAAAAAUGAUUGGUUCUAUUGUCCAAGAUGGAAUAACAGGAACAGAUGUACCUUCCUGCCAGAGAUAACCAGAAAUCCAGACAAAUAUAUGAAACAAGGUUUUUCAAGACAUUGGAUAUCAGGCAAAGAACAUACUGGUGGUUGAGAGGCAAAAACAACUAAGGUGAGAGGUGUGACUUGAGAGGGUUUCCAGGCCAUGGCGCAGGGAGGGGGAACCCAAGCUGAGCUUGGCAGCCUCUCCAAGUUGAGGAGAUGGAGCUGAGAAUCUGGACAGACCAACACGUUUAGUGUCCCCAGGGCAGAGUACCAAAGAGAGACCUUGGGAAAUCUGCUGUGUGCUGAUUGGUGCAGGCAUGUGGAGGACAACUGCUUGAGGCCAGGAAAAGAACCAUCUGAGAGGAUUAGAAGGAACAGUGGCCAGCACUCAAACUGGGCCAGGAACAGUGCCUGGCAUUUGUUCACAUGGGGCUGGGAACUGUGCCUGUUUCCACCUGCCAAUCUGGAAAACCUCAUACUUCAAGGGAAAUUUGAUACAGUCCUCGGAAAGAUCUUGCCUCAGUAGUGGGGAUAAUUGCAUUAGAUUACAUACGGCUGUUGUCCUGCCUGACAGAUCUCAAACAUAAAAUACAAAGGCAUCAUUUCCAAGUAAUUUAACUAUAUCCUGGAGCAAAGCUCAAGAAUAUUUAUAGGAGUACAAAACUAUCCAGCAUGACGAAGGUAAAAAAAAAAAUCACAAUAUCUGACAUCGAAUCAAAGAUUACUCGACAUGUAAGGAAGCAGGAAAAGAGGAAGCAUGAUGAGAGAAAAAAUCAAUUAAUGAAAAGCUAAGACCUGACAUAUAUGUUAGAUUUAGCAGACAUUAAAAUAGUUAUUAUGGCUGUAUUAUAGGUGUUCACAAAGUUAAGUAAAUACAGCAAAAGACACCACUUGAACUACACUGGAAAACACAGUGUCUGUACUUAAAACACACUAGACAGGAUUAACAGCAGAUUAGAUAUUGGAGAAGAAAAGAUUAGUGAACUUGAAGGCAUAGCAAUUCAAACUAAAAUGACACAUACAAAGGAAAAAUAAUAAUAAUAAUAAAAAAGAAAACAGCAUCAGUGAACUGUGGAUGUAUGCAUAAUUGGUGUCCCUGAGGACAGAAAAAAUAUUGGAAGAAACAAUGGGUUUGAUUCAUUGGGAAGACUUAACAAUUCUAAAAGUUUAUGAUUCUAAUAACAGAGCUUUAAAAUACAUGAAGCAAAAACUGAUAGAGCUACAAGGUGAAAGAGACAAACAAGAUUAUAGUCAGAGAUAAUACACUGAACAAAUAUAGAGAAUUCAGCACAAAUGUAAAAGAUUUGAACUACACUGUCAGCCGACUUGAACUAAUUGACAUUUUUAUAUAGCACACUCUACCCAAUAAGAGCAGAAUAUGCAUUAUUUUUAAGUGCAUACAGAACACUUACCAAGACGCAUCAUAUUCUUGGCCGUAAAACAAGCCUCAAUACAUUUUAAAAGGUUCCAUCAUACAGAGUGGAUUCUCUGACAUAAUGGAAUUAAAUUUGAUAUCAGUAACAUAACAUGAGUGAAAAAUCAUCAAAUAUUUGUAAACUAAAUGACAUCCUUCCAAACAAUCCAUGUGUCAAAAAAGAAAUCAAAGAAAAAAAUUAGAAUGUAUUUUGAACUGAAUGAAAAUAAAAACAACUUACUGAAGUUUAUGGCAGUACUGCUAUGGCAGUACUUAGGUGAAAAUCUAUAACACCAAACACCUAUAUUAGAAAA